CCAGUGAUUCAUUCAACGGCCGCGGUAUCCUAACCGUGCAAAGGUAGCGUAAUCACUUGUUUUCCAAAUAAAGACCAGUAUGAAAGGCAUCACGAGAACUAAACUGUCUCCUUUCUCUAAUCAGUGAACCUAAUCUCCCCGUGAAGAAGCGGGGAUCCCACUAUAAGACGAGAAGACCCUGUGGAGCUUAAAACAUUAAAACAGUGCCCCCCCCCCCCCGGCACCCUGAUUACAUGUUUUUGGUUGGGGUGACCGCGGAGAAAAACCCAUCCUCCGUAAUGAAAGGGGACUUCCCCUAAGCAACAAGCUACAACUUUAUUCAUCAAAAAAU
RNAcentral lists this ribosomal RNA (331 nucleotides) under Pristimantis sp. Guiana ABGD cluster 262. RNAcentral describes it as "partial large subunit ribosomal RNA". It matches the Rfam family "Bacterial large subunit ribosomal RNA", at positions 1912 to 2405 of the family's 2925-position model. Lineage: Eukaryota; Metazoa; Chordata; Amphibia; Anura; Strabomantidae. The record is from RNAcentral.